RNAcentral lists this long non-coding RNA (532 nucleotides) under Brassica rapa (field mustard). RNAcentral's name for it is "long non-coding RNA (BRAP_LNC003590)". The record is from RNAcentral. Lineage: Eukaryota; Viridiplantae; Streptophyta; Magnoliopsida; Brassicales; Brassicaceae.
GUGCCUUCAUAAUUUCUUCUUCUUUGGUAUUUCAAGUUCUUACUUUUUUUUUUUUACCACAUAAUUCUAAAAUAUGUCAUUUUUUUUCAGUUGCGACCCAGAUUUUUAAAUUGUGAAUUCUAACCCUUCAAUGUGUUGUUUGGUCUGUAACUUGCUGCUCACCGCCGACUCGUCGUUGAAGCAUCGCCUCCGCAUCACUCCACCGUGCUCAGCUCUACCGUAACGGCUAGCUCCUACCUACCGUAAUGGCAAAUCACAUACGCAUCACUCUUGCCUCAUUCAUCGUCGAAUAAUCACCGCAAAACGCUACAGCCCUUAGAUCCACCUUCAUUGCCGUUUGGAGUCCUUGUGGCUCGUCCUCUCCUUCGAGUUUUAAUCUUUUUUUUUCUUCAGAUUUUCGAAGUUGCAAAAACAACUUUUUGAUUUCAUCUCCAAAUUUCUAGUGUUCAUUUUUAUCUCGUGACAGAGUGAAAACUAGAGAGCUACAAUUGUUAAGUUUCUGUUUUUUGCUCGCUUCGCCCUUAAAGUAUGU